Molecule: transfer RNA, 77 nt
Filed under: Dictyoglomota bacterium
Lineage: Bacteria; Pseudomonadati; Dictyoglomota
Also listed under: 1 other name
Description: Dictyoglomi bacterium (hydrothermal vent metagenome) tRNA-Arg
Rfam family: tRNA
About the family: Transfer RNA (tRNA) molecules are approximately 80 nucleotides in length. Their secondary structure includes four short double-helical elements and three loops (D, anti-codon, and T loops).
Source: RNAcentral
GGGCCCGUAGCUCAGCAGGAUAGAGCGGCAGCCUCCUAAGCUGCAGGUCGGGGGUUCGAAUCCCUCCGGGCUCACCA